This 267-nucleotide long non-coding RNA is filed under the name Parus major (Great Tit). RNAcentral's name for it is "lncRNA (ENSPMJG00000017331.1)". Lineage: Eukaryota; Metazoa; Chordata; Aves; Passeriformes; Paridae. The record is from RNAcentral.
CUCUUCCCACGCACUGAGCAGCACUGCAGAGCUCUGCCUUGGCCAUGCAGGUGGACACCUUGGAGCUGGGCAGUCCCAGAGGGAGCUGCAGCAUCCAUGACAGAUGGCUUUCCUUCUGGGCUGGUAGGGGGACUGUGACCAUCCUGGUCCAGGAGCUGAUGAGCUGCAGUUGUUCACCAGGGCCCAGGGAUGAAAGGAGAUGAUGGUGCCUUACAGAACUGUACACUGUGGUGACAGAGGACGGGGCUGAUGUGCAUUCCACCUGGC